RNAcentral lists this ribosomal RNA (253 nucleotides) under uncultured bacterium. RNAcentral's name for it is "partial 16S ribosomal RNA". It matches the Rfam family "Bacterial small subunit ribosomal RNA", at positions 524 to 776 of the family's 1533-position model. The record is from RNAcentral.
UACAUGGGGUGCAAACGUUGCUCGGAAUUACUGGGCGUAAAGCGCGCGUAGGUGGUUCGUUAAGUUGGAUGUGAAAUCCCCGGGCUCAACCUGGGAACUGCAUUCAAAACUGACGAGCUAGAGUAUGGUAGAGGGUGGUGGAAUUUCCUGUGUAGCGGUGAAAUGCGUAGAUAUAGGAAGGAACACCAGUGGCGAAGGCGACCACCUGGACUGAUACUGACACUGAGGUGCGAAAGCGUGGGGAGCAAACAGG